This 440-nucleotide ribosomal RNA is filed under the name uncultured bacterium. RNAcentral's name for it is "bacterial SSU rRNA". It matches the Rfam family "Bacterial small subunit ribosomal RNA", at positions 338 to 768 of the family's 1533-position model. The record is from RNAcentral.
CCUACGGGGGGCAGCAGUGGGGAAUCUUGCGCAAUGGCCGAAAGGCUGACGCAGCGACGCCGCGUGCGGGAGGAAGCCCUUCGGGGUGUAAACCGCUGUCAGAGGGGACGAGGGCCCCGGGGAGGCAAUGCCCUGGGGAGGGACGGUACCCUCAGAGGAAGCACCGGCUAACUCCGUGCCAGCAGCCGCGGUAAUACGGAGGGUGCGAGCGUUGUUCGGAAUUAUUGGGCGUAAAGCGCACGUAGGCGGCUUGUUAAGUCCACUGGUGAAAGACCGGGGCUCAACCCCGAGUGAGCCGGGGAUACUGGCGAGCUGGAGAGAGGCAGAGGCCAGCGGAAUUCCGGGUGUAGCGGUGGAAUGCGUAGAGAUCCGGAAGAACACCGGAGGCGAAGGCGGCUGGCUGGGCCUACUCUGACGCUGAGGUGCGAAAGCGUGGGGAG